RNAcentral lists this ribosomal RNA (253 nucleotides) under uncultured bacterium. RNAcentral's name for it is "partial 16S ribosomal RNA". It matches the Rfam family "Bacterial small subunit ribosomal RNA", at positions 524 to 776 of the family's 1533-position model. The record is from RNAcentral.
UACAGAGGGUGCGAGCGUUAUUCGGAAUUACUGGGCUUAAAGAGUUCGUAGGCGGCAUGAAAAGUAGGGUGUGAAAGCCCUCGGCUCAACCGAGGAAUUGCGCUCUAAACUGUCGUGCUCGAGGAAUCUAGAGGUGAGCGGAACUGAUGGUGGAGCGGUGAAAUGCGUUGAUAUCAUCAGGAACACCGGAGGCGAAGGCGGCUCACUGGGGAGUUUCUGACGCUGAGGAACGAAAGCCAGGGGAGCGAACGGG